RNAcentral lists this transfer RNA (56 nucleotides) under Macracanthorhynchus hirudinaceus (giant thorny-headed worm). RNAcentral describes it as "transfer RNA-Asn". The record is from RNAcentral. Lineage: Eukaryota; Metazoa; Acanthocephala; Archiacanthocephala; Oligacanthorhynchida; Oligacanthorhynchidae.
CUUGUGGGUUUAUAGAGAUUGUUACUCUCUUUUCGGUGUUAACCACUCACAUAAGU